AAGAAGUAUAAAAGUGACGGGAGUUUCGUUGUUCACCAUUAUCUCUAAAAAUAAAUAAAAGUAAAUUAGGAUCACACGUUUUAUUCAUUUGAAGUAGGAAGAAUCCAAGUCGACGUGUCAUUGUAUGAGUUGAAUAUUCAACCUGUGCCACUACUUCCUUUUAAAUUUUAGUUUUAUUUCUCUAUUUUCUGAUAUCCAUCUUUCAUUUCACCGGAGAGAAACAAACAAUGACGGCGAAUCUCCUCCGAUUCUCCAUCUCACACGAUCACAACCUCACUUCCACCUUCCUUCACCAACGACGCCGCAUCAACGGCAAUGAACGACGCCGUACUAGUAGUAGUAGUCAGCUACUGCUGCGUCGCAAUGCCGUAUUCGCAAAGGCGAACACAACUGAGCAGUUGAAGAAAGACGAAUCGACAACGACCGCGCUACUGGAUGUGAGCGGGAUGAUGUGCGGCGCGUGUGUCUCACGGGUCAAGUCGAUCUUAUCAACCGACGAGCGCGUCGACUCAGCUGUAGUCAACAUGUUGACGGAAACAGCUGCGGUUAAGUUGAAACCGGAGAGCGGUUUAACGGCUGAAGAGUUGGCUAAGAGGUUAACGGAAUGCGGUUUCCCGACGAGCAAAAGGUCGUCAGGGUUAGGAGUGGAAGCGAAGGUGAACAAGUGGAAGGAAACAGUGAAGAAAAAGGAAGCAUUGCUUGUUCACAGUCGAAAUCGAGUGGCUUUUGCUUCGACUUUAGUUGCUUUAUGCUGUGGAACUCAUGCUACUCAUAUUUUCCACUCUCUUGGCAUUCAUAUUCACGGUCCAAUGUUGGAUGUACUGCACAAUUCUUAUGUCAAGGCUGGAUUGGCAAUAGGGGCUUUGUUUGGACCUGGACGAGACCUGCUCUUUGAUGGUCUUCGGGCGUUUGCAAAGGGAUCACCAAAUAUGAACUCUCUUGUUGGCUUUGGAUCGAUUGCUGCUUUUGCAAUUAGUUCUCUUCUUCUCUUUCUUAGGUCUCACUACUUAACCCUGAUCUUCAAUGGGGAGCAUCAUUUUUCGAUGAGCCGUAUGCAGGUCAUGCUUCUUGGGUUUGUAUUACUAGGGCGUUCCUUGGAGGAAAGGGCAAGGCUGAAAGCAUCUAGUGACAUGAAUGAGCUAUUAUCGCUUAUAUCUACUCAAUCUAGACUUGUAAUUACUUCCUCCGGCAGUGGUUCCUCGACUGAUGUUGUCGGUUCUGAUGCAAUAUGUAUUGAGGUUCCAACUGAUGAUAUUCGAGUUGGUGAUUCUUUGCUCGUUUUGCCUGGAGAAACUAUACCUGUAGAUGGAAGAGUCGUUGCAGGUCGAAGUGUUGUGGAUGAAUCUAUGCUUACGGGAGAGUCUCUUCCGGUAUUUAAGGAGAAGGGUGUGCCUGUCUCAGCUGGUACAAUAAACUGGGACAGCCCUUUGAGGAUUGAGGCCUCUUCCACUGGUUCCAACUCAACAAUUUCCAAGAUUGUUAACAUGGUUGAGGAUGCUCAAGGCCGUGAAGCACCAAUUCAGCGACUAGCAGAUACAAUUGCGGGGCCAUUUGUUUACAGUGUGAUGACAUUAUCAGCUGCAACAUUUGGGUUCUGGUAUUAUGUUGGGUCGCAUAUCUUCCCAGAUGUUCUAUUGAAUGAUAUUGCCGGACCAGAAGGAGAUCCUUUGCUUCUGAGCCUGAAGCUUGCUGUAGAUGUAUUGGUUGUCUCCUGCCCUUGUGCUUUAGGCCUUGCCACACCAACUGCAAUUCUGGUUGGAACCUCACUAGGAGCAAGACAAGGACUUCUUAUCAGAGGAGGAGAUGUACUGGAACGCUUGGCCAGUGUGGAUCAUGUUAUGCUGGACAAGACAGGAACUCUGACUGAAGGAAAACCUGCUGUCUCUGCUAUCGUGUCAUUGGGCCAUGAGGAAUUAGAGAUUCUUCAACUAGCCGCUGCAGUAGAGAAAACCGCAUCACACCCCAUUGCUCAUGCUAUUAUAAGCAAAGCAGAAUCAUUAAAUUUGAGUAUCCCGGUCACAAGUGGGCAAUUGGCUGAACCUGGCUCUGGAACCAUGGCAGAAGUAAAUGGGCUCUUGGUCGCAAUUGGAAAGCUGAAAUGGGUUCAAGAACGUUUCCAGCAAAAAGCAGACCUAUCUAAUUUGAUGACUCUUGAGCAAUCUGUGAUGCAUAAAUCAUUGAAGGAUAUUCAAUCAUCUAACCAUUCAACAACAGUUGUAUACAUUGGUCGGGAGGGAGAGGGUGUGAUUGGGGCCAUUGCGAUAUCUGAUAGAUUACGUGAGGAUGCUGAGUCCACAAUAAGAAGGCUUCAGCAUAAGGGAAUUGAAACAGUACUGUUAUCGGGAGACAGGGAAGAGGCAGUUGCAACCGUAGCAAAGACAGUUGGCAUAAAAGACAAAUUUGUCAAUGCAUCCUUAACACCCCAGCAGAAAUCUGCUGCCAUUUCAGGUCUUCAAGCUUCAGGCCACCACGUCGCCAUGGUUGGUGAUGGCAUUAAUGAUGCACCUUCUCUUGCUCUUGCUGAUGUGGGGAUUGCUUUGCAAGUUGAAGGACAGGAAACUGCUGCCUCAAAUGCAGCAUCCAUUAUACUCCUUGGGAAUAGACUUUCACAGGUGCCGGAAGCUCUUGAUCUUGCACGGGCAACAAUGGCAAAAGUUCAUCAAAAUUUGUCUUGGGCAGUUGCAUAUAAUUUUGUUGCCAUUCCCAUUGCAGCUGGAGUACUACUUCCAAAUUUUGAUUUUGCAAUGACACCAUCUCUUUCAGGAGGGUUAAUGGCUAUGAGCUCAAUAUUUGUCGUCACCAACUCACUGUUACUACAGUUCCACGGUUCUCAAAAGAAAAGAAAAGAGAAUCUUUACCUAUAAGCAUGCCCAAAUGGAGCCAUAACUCCUACCUCAUCCAAACCAUGGAAUUGGCAUUUGGUCUACUGACUCCAACUUGGUUUGAGCCACCAAUUCGAAUGUCGGCUGAGGAGGGUCAUAACCGUACAGUGCCUUGAAAGGGGUCAUACCAAUUGCUGAUUGAAAGUUGGUGUUGUACCAAAAUUCGGCUAAUGGCAACCAUUUGCACCACUCCUUGGGUUUAUGGCUCGUCAUACACCUUAGAUAAACCUCGAGACAACGAUUCAACCUCUCCGUUAGUCCAUCGGUUUGUGGGUGAUAUGAAGAGCUAAGUUUCAGCUGCACUUGCAAUGCUUUGAAAAGUUCCUGCCAAAAUAGACUAACAAAAAUAGGAUCACGAUCAGAAACAAUUGAACAUGGCACUCCAUGUAAUUUAACAAUGUUAUCCAGGAAGAACUGAGCCAAUUGACUCGCCGUAUAGGGAUGAGCUAUGGCCAAGAAAUGGCCAUACUUGGUGUAUCGAUCAACCACUACCCAAAUCAUAUUUUUUCCCUUGUGAUUUUGGCAAGCCCUCAAUGAAA
Lycium barbarum (goji berry) is the source of this 3421-nucleotide RNA transcript. It is a transcript of the gene named copper-transporting ATPase PAA2, chloroplastic, with no coding region annotated. The record is from RefSeq and is a predicted model, not a curated record. The transcript has 18 exons. NCBI's taxonomy places the organism in Eukaryota, Viridiplantae, Streptophyta, Magnoliopsida, Solanales, Solanaceae.